ACUCAAAUGAAUUGACGGGGGCCCGCACAAGCGGCGGAGCAUGUGGCUUAAUUCGACGCAACGCGAAGAACCUUACCAAGGCUUGACAUGCUGGGAAAUCCCAUAGAGAUAUGGGGUCCGUAAGGGUCCAGCACAGGUGGUGCAUGGCUGUCGUCAGCUCGUGUCGUGAGAUGUUGGGUUAAGUCCCGCAACGAGCGCAACCCUCGUUCUAUGUUGCCAGCGGAUAAUGCCGGGGACUCAUAGGAGACUGCCGGGGUCAACUCGGAGGAAGGUGGGGAUGACGUCAAGUCAUCAUGCCCCUUACGUCUUGGGCUGCACACAUGCUACAAUGGUCGGUACAAAGGGCUGCGAGACCGCAAGGUGGAGCGAAUCCCAAAAAGCCGGCCUCAGUUCGGAUUGGGGUCUGCAACUCGACCCCAUGAAGUCGGAGUCGCUAGUAAUCGCAGAUCAGCAACGCUGCGGUGAAUACGUUCCCGGGCCUUGUACACACCGCCCGU
RNAcentral lists this ribosomal RNA (497 nucleotides) under uncultured bacterium. RNAcentral's name for it is "partial 16S ribosomal RNA". It matches the Rfam family "Bacterial small subunit ribosomal RNA", at positions 899 to 1397 of the family's 1533-position model. The record is from RNAcentral.